This 1023-nucleotide long non-coding RNA is filed under the name Felis catus (domestic cat). Its description in RNAcentral is "lncRNA (ENSFCAG00000048699.1)". Lineage: Eukaryota; Metazoa; Chordata; Mammalia; Carnivora; Felidae. The record is from RNAcentral.
AUGCUGAAAAGUUGUAACAGUGCCCAAGUGCUAACUAUCCACCAGGAGCCUGUGUCCUGGUUCACAGGGACACCACCCUCCCCUAAGCCAGUGCAGGCUAGACAGAAACAGCAGUGGGGAGGUUGCUGUCCAGUUGGGGCCCUCAGUGCCUUCCAGCGUUCCUUGGGAUGGAAUUCAAGUUUGCCCUCACCUACUCCCCUGCCGGGCUCAGGCGCAAAACUCCCGUGCACUCUCCCUGCCUUUGCACGUGCAGUUCCCUCUAUCUGGGAAGAUCUUUCCUGCAGCCUUCCCGCUGGUCCAGGUGCCCUCACCAAACCGGACGGCCCAGGAAGGGGGACGGGUACACCGCAGGGCCCCGCGGCAAGCGAGGAAGGGCCUGGCGGGGGAGGAGAGAAGGAACAGAGGCGCUCCAGCCUCCAGCAUGUCUCUUCUCCCCGACUGCCGACCUCAGCCCCCAACGCGCCGGCCCGGGGUCCAAGAUCUGAGAGCGCGCGCGAGCUAGCCCGGGUCGCGGGGACUGUGGAGCCGGGACCCGGCAGCCGAGCCGGGAUGGCGGGGACAGAGGUCUGGGGCCUGGGGUCCCCGGGGCGGGCACUCACCUGGGUUCGGCGCGGGCCUCCGUUCUGGAGCCGCUCGGGGCCGCGGCCGCCUGGGGGGGAGGGGGAAGGGGGGGGGGAGGAGCGGGCGGGGGCGGGGCCGGCGCUGCGGCGACACUGCGGCCGGGAAGCCCGCGGCGCCCAGCACCGCCCCGCCGGGUCCCUGCUGGUAGUUGGGGGUCGGUUCCAGGUCAGGGGUCAGGCCGGUGGCUUCAGAGUCCUCACAGAGGGUCGCGGGGUAUGGGGAGGAAUUCGGGGUUCCUUCUGGCCAUGGACGCCGCCGGCGGGGUUUGGGUUCCCAGGGAUCCUCUGGACCUUAGAGGGGCGCAUAGCUGGGCAGCGCACCGGAUCUGAUUCUUGCUUUUCUUUCUUUCCUAAGUCUUCGAAUCGUGGGCGGCGGCGGAGUGACGUGGGGAGUGGGAGUUGA